GAUGAACGCUGGCGGCGUGCCUAAUACAUGCAAGUCGAGCGAACGGACGAGAAGCUUGCUUCUCUGAUGUUAGCGGCGGACGGGUGAGUAACACGUGGAUAACCUACCUAUAAGACUGGGAUAACUUCGGGAAACCGGAGCUAAUACCGGAUAAUAUUUUGAACCGCAUGGUUCAAAAGUGAAAGACGGUCUUGCUAUCACUUAUAGAUGGAUCCGCGCUGCAUUAGCUAGUUGGUAAGGUAACGGCUUACCAAGGCAACGAUGCAUAGCCGACCUGAGAGGGUGAUCGGCCACACUGGAACUGAGACACGGUACAGACUCCUACGGGAGGCAGCAGUAGGGAAUCUUCCGCAAUGGGCGAAAGCCUGACGGAGCAACGCCGCGUGAGUGAUGAAGGUCUUCGGAUCGUAAAACUCUGUUAUUAGGGAAGAACAUAUGUGUAAGUAACUGUGCACAUCUUGACGGUACCUAAUCAGAAAGCCACGGCUAACUACGUG
Molecule: ribosomal RNA, 497 nt
Filed under: uncultured bacterium
Lineage: Bacteria
Description: partial 16S ribosomal RNA
Rfam family: Bacterial small subunit ribosomal RNA
Source: RNAcentral